RNAcentral lists this ribosomal RNA (467 nucleotides) under uncultured bacterium. RNAcentral describes it as "partial 16S ribosomal RNA". It matches the Rfam family "Bacterial small subunit ribosomal RNA", at positions 28 to 507 of the family's 1533-position model. The record is from RNAcentral.
GACGAACGCUGGCGGCGUGCUUAACACAUGCAAGUCGAACGGAAAGGCCUCUUUCGGGGGGUACUCGAGUGGCGAACGGGUGAGUAACACGUGAGUAACCUGCCCUUGACUUUGGGAUAACUUCAGGAAACUGGGGCUAAUACCGGAUAGGAGCUCCUGCUGCAUGGUGGGGGUUGGAAAGUUUCGGCGGUUGGGGAUGGACUCGCGGCUUAUCAGCUUGUUGGUGGGGUAGUGGCUUACCAAGGCUUUGACGGGUAGCCGGCCUGAGAGGGUGACCGGCCACAUUGGGACUGAGGUACGGCCCAGACUCCUACGGGAGGCAGCAGGGGGGAAUAUUGCACAAUGGGUGGAAGCCUGAUGCAGCAACGCCGUGGGCGGGAUGACGGCCUUCGGGUUGUAAACCGCUUUCGCUCAUGACGAAGCUUUGUGUGACGGUAGUGGGUAAAGAAGCACCGGCUAACUACGUG